GUACAUCCCAAGACAUCGAAUAUCUUGGUAAUUUGCUUGACCCAUGUUUCCGCCAUGAUCGGAUCUGGCUUUCCCUUAAAUUCUGGUGGUCCCAACUCUUUGAACUGUUUGGCUGUGACAACCCGUGAAUUGCUAUCAUUUCCUCCUGUAUUUUGAACACGAGUCUCCCUCGUCUGAUUUUGCAUGAACUGCAAAAAGCUUCUAAACAUCCC
RNAcentral lists this long non-coding RNA (212 nucleotides) under Panax ginseng (ginseng). RNAcentral's name for it is "long non-coding RNA (PGIN_LNC015794)". The record is from RNAcentral. Lineage: Eukaryota; Viridiplantae; Streptophyta; Magnoliopsida; Apiales; Araliaceae.